This 71-nucleotide non-coding RNA is filed under the name Streptomyces uncialis. Lineage: Bacteria; Bacillati; Actinomycetota; Actinomycetes; Kitasatosporales; Streptomycetaceae. The record is from RNAcentral.
GGGGAAGCCGGUGUAAAUCCGGCGCUGACCCGCAACCGUGAGCCGCCCGCAAGGGCCCAGCCGGAAUGCCC